CCGUCAGUGGCGGACGGGUGAGUAACGCGUAGGAAUCUAUCCUUGGAAUGGGGGACAACCGUGGGAACCUAACGGCUAUACCGCAUGAUGCCUGAGGGCCAAAGACGAAAGUCGUUUGAGGAGGAGUCCUGCGUCUGAAUUAGGUAGUUGGUGGGGUAAAGGCCUACCAAGCCUACGAUCAGUAGGCUGGUCUGAGAGGGAUGAUCAGCCACAUUGGGACUGAGACACGGCCCAAACUCCUACGGGAGGCAGCAGUGGGGAAUAUUGGACAAUGGGCGCAAGCCUGAUCCAGCAAUGCCGCGUGGGUGAAGAAGGUCUUCGGAUUGUAAAGCCCUUUUGGCGGGGACGAUGAUGACGGUACCCGCAGAAUAAGCUCCGGCUAACUUCGUG
RNAcentral lists this ribosomal RNA (390 nucleotides) under uncultured bacterium. RNAcentral's name for it is "bacterial SSU rRNA". It matches the Rfam family "Bacterial small subunit ribosomal RNA", at positions 89 to 507 of the family's 1533-position model. The record is from RNAcentral.